UACGUAGGGUGCGAGCGUUAAUCGGAAUUACUGGGCGUAAAGCGUGCGCAGGCGGUUUUGUAAGACAGGCGUGAAAUCCCCGGGCUUAACCUGGGAAUUGCGCUUGUGACUGCAAGGCUAGAGUGCGUCAGAGGGGGGUAGAAUUCCACGUGUAGCAGUGAAAUGCGUAGAGAUGUGGAGGAAUACCGAUGGCGAAGGCAGCCCCCUGGGACGUGACUGACGCUCAUGCACGAAAGCGUGGGGGAGCAAACAGGAUUAGAUACCCUGGUAGUCCACGCCCUAAACGAUGUCAACUAGUUGUUGGGGAUUCAUUUUCUCAGUAACGUAGCUAACGCGUGAAGUUGACCGCCUGGGGAGUACGGUCGCAAGAUUAAAACUCAA
Molecule: ribosomal RNA, 381 nt
Filed under: uncultured bacterium
Lineage: Bacteria
Description: bacterial SSU rRNA
Rfam family: Bacterial small subunit ribosomal RNA
Source: RNAcentral